UCAGAAGUACUUUUCAAAAUAUCAUGUAUUUUGCUAACUCUAUAUAACUCCAUGUGUCAUUUCAUCCAGAAAACUUGUUUCUAAUGCUUUUUUCUCUGGACUCUAAGCUGGUUGAUGCCACCUAGCCUUGGGAAAAAGCCCACCUUCUGAUAGGAUUGCUAUUGAGUAGCAAAAAUUCUUGGAUUCUGAUAACAUCUUUCAUGCAGAAACUCAAAGCAUCUCCCAAAUUAUAAGCCCAUUCUUUUACCCUGUUCUACACUCUCACACUCUAAGAACAACUCAUUUCAAUCUUGGGACAUUGACCAGAAUUCAGGGAAACUAGCAUGAUCCUUCCAGUCUGACGUUUCAUUCCAUCUACUGUCCAAAGCUGUGUCUACAAGGCAUCACCUAUGAGACAAGAAAACUGAGGCUCAACAAGAUUACUUGAAUUUGCACAGAUUAUAAGUGAUGAAACUGGGGCUCCAGCAAAGUUCUCUCUGAUUCUAUGCUGCUAACCACUACACUAUGUUGUCUCUCAUAUUUAUACAUUUGAUGUGAGCCUUCUAUACUUAAGUUUCCAUUUCCCGACUUUAAGUUUUUCCAAUGUAAAAAAGAGGGUGAUGUGUUGCAGGAAAGGAUUUGUAUGAGAAAGAAGUGAGGUUGUCCUUGAUCCCUUGAAUUUAUUUGCUUGCCAGUGAGGGCUGGAGUGUUUUCUGUCUUUGUUACUGUCUGUACUUUCAAGGAAAAGAAAGUCUUCUCAUCAGUGAUAUCAGAGUAUACCAAGGAAGAUCAGGUUGCUGAUUUUCAGAAUGAUCCAGGUCCCAGUAAAUACCAAUGAUUUUUAUCAGAUUAAGAAGUCAGGCAGUCUAUUAAUAUCCUUGUCAGAAUCAAAUCCAAUUCCAAGGUUGCAAAUAGAGCUAUAAGAAAGAAAAAAAAAGAGAGAUGUAAUAUUGUGGCUGGUAAUUUUUGUCCUUUUCACUGUGGACGUGAAUAUUUUGUUUAAAUAUUUAGUUGGGCAAC
Symphalangus syndactylus (siamang) is the source of this 999-nucleotide long non-coding RNA. RefSeq lists it as uncharacterized. The record is from RefSeq and is a predicted model, not a curated record. Lineage: Eukaryota; Metazoa; Chordata; Mammalia; Primates; Hylobatidae.